Molecule: unclassified non-coding RNA, 1257 nt
Filed under: uncultured Pleosporales
Lineage: Eukaryota; Fungi; Ascomycota; Dothideomycetes; Pleosporales
Description: sequence contains 5.8S rRNA gene, ITS2, 28S rRNA gene
Source: RNAcentral
AACUUUCAACAACGGAUCUCUUGGUUCUGGCAUCGAUGAAGAACGCAGCGAAAUGCGAUAAGUAGUGUGAAUUGCAGAAUUCAGUGAAUCAUCGAAUCUUUGAACGCACAUUGCGCCCCUUGGUAUUCCAUGGGGCAUGCCUGUUCGAGCGUCAUUUGUACCCUCAAGCCUUGCUUGGUGCUGGGUGUUUGUUCCGCCGCGCGCGUGAACUCGCCUCAAAUGGAUUGGCAGCCGGCAGCCUGGUGUUUCGAGCGCAGCACAUUUUGCGCUCGUCGCCGAGCGGCGGCAUCCACGAAGCCCGCAUCUACACACGCUUGACCUCGGAUCAGGUAGGGAUACCCGCUGAACUUAAGCAUAUCAAUAAGCGGAGGAAAAGAAACCAACAGGGAUUGCCCUAGUAACGGCGAGUGAAGCGGCAUCAGCUCAAAUUUGAAAUCUGGCUCUUUCAGAGUCCGAGUUGUAAUUUGCAGAGGGCGCUUUGGCGUUGGCAGCGGUCCAAGUUCCUUGGAACAGGACGUCACAGAGGGUGAGAAUCCCGUACGUGGUCGCUGGCCUUCACCGUGUAAAGCCCCUUCGACGAGUCGAGUUGUUUGGGAAUGCAGCUCUAAAUGGGAGGUAAAUUUCUUCUAAAGCUAAAUACUGGCCAGAGACCGAUAGCGCACAAGUAGAGUGAUCGAAAGAUGAAAAGCACUUUGGAAAGAGAGUCAAACAGCACGUGAAAUUGUUGAAAGGGAAGCGCUUGCAGCCAGACUUGCCUGUAGUUGCUCAUCCGGGCUUUUGCCCGGUGCAUUCUUCUGUAGGCAGGCCAGCAUCAGUUUGGGCGGUUGGAUAAAGGCCUCUGUCACGUACCUCCUUUCGGGGAGGCCUUAUAGGGGAGGCGDCAUGCAACCAGCCUGGACUGAGGUCCGCGCAUCUGCUAGGAUGCUGGCGUAAUGGCUGUAAGCGGCCCGUCUUGAAACACGGACCAAGGAGUCUAACAUCUAUGCGAGUGUUUGGGUGUCAAGCCCGAGCGCGCAAUGAAAGUGAACGGAGGUGGGAHCCCGCAAGGGUGCACCAUCGACCGAUCCUGAAGUCUUCGGAUGGAUUUGAGUAHGAGCAUGGCUGUUGGGACCCGAAAGAUGGUGAACUAUGCUUGAAUAGGGUGAAGCCAGAGGAAACUCUGGUGGAGGCUCGCAGCGGUUCUGACGUGCAAAUCGAUCGUCAAAUUUGGGCAUAGGGGCGAAAGACUAAUCGAACUAUCUAGUAGCUGGUUCCUGC